UACGUAGGGCGCAAGCGUUAUCCGGAAUUAUUGGGCGUAAAGAGCUCGUAGGCGGUUUGUCGCGUCUGCCGUGAAAGUCCGGGGCUCAACUCCGGAUCUGCGGUGGGUACGGGCAGACUAGAGUGCAGUAGGGGAGACUGGAAUCCUGGUGUAGCGGUGAAAUGCGCAGAUAUCAGGAAGAACACCCGUGGCUAAGGCGGUUCUCUAGUACGGUACUGACGCUGGAGACGCGAAAGCGUGGGGAGCGAACAGG
Molecule: ribosomal RNA, 253 nt
Filed under: uncultured bacterium
Lineage: Bacteria
Description: partial 16S ribosomal RNA
Rfam family: Bacterial small subunit ribosomal RNA
Source: RNAcentral